This 504-nucleotide ribosomal RNA is filed under the name Cephalobus persegnis. RNAcentral describes it as "SSU rRNA". It matches the Rfam family "Eukaryotic small subunit ribosomal RNA", at positions 88 to 590 of the family's 1831-position model. Lineage: Eukaryota; Metazoa; Nematoda; Chromadorea; Rhabditida; Cephalobidae. The record is from RNAcentral.
CGCGAAUGGCUCAUUAUAACAGCUAUAAUUUACUUGAUCUUGACACAAUCCUACUUGGAUAACUGUGGUAAUUCUAGAGCUAAUACAUGCAUUAAAGCUCUGACCUCACGGGAAGAGUGCAUUUAUUAGAACAAAACCAAGCGGCUUCGGCUGUUUCUGGUUGACUCAUAGUAACUGAGCUGAUCGCAUGGUCUUGUACCGGCGACGUGUCUUUCAAGUAUCUGCCGUAUCAACUUUCGAUGGUAGUGUAUCUGACUACCAUGGUGAUCACGCGUAACGGAGAAUAAGGGUUCGACUCCGGAGAGUUCGCCUGAGAAAUCACGAACACAUCUAAGGAAGGCAGCAGGCGCGAAAAUUACCCACUCUCAGCACGAGGAGGAGUGACGAAAAAUAACGAGACCGUUCUCUUUCGAGGCCGGUCAUCUGAAUGGGUACAAUUUAAACCCUUUAACGAGUAUCUAUGAGAGGGCAAGUCUGGUGCCAGCAGCCGCGGUAAUUCCAGCU